RNAcentral lists this long non-coding RNA (722 nucleotides) under Numida meleagris (helmeted guineafowl). RNAcentral describes it as "lncRNA (ENSNMEG00000018342.1)". Lineage: Eukaryota; Metazoa; Chordata; Aves; Galliformes; Numididae. The record is from RNAcentral.
AUUUGCUUUUCUUUUCUUUUUUUUUUUCUUUUUUGAGUCACUAGAUGGACCAUCAUGGAAAUGGUAUCUUCCAUCUCUCUCUACCUGAGCAAACAACCUCCUUUCAAGAUGAAUUCUCCAGAAAGCAGAUAACUGAAUUACUUGAGUGCUGAUCCACUUCAAAGGGUCUCUUUAUAGGAGGCAUAAUCAGAUUCUGAUGCUUUGAUCAGGGGAAUCUAUGAACCUGCUUACUCGAUCACAAACUCCUCUAUUUGCCAUGAAGAGAUAAGUCAUCAAUUACAGAACUCACACCUGCUCUGAGUAACGUUAUUGAUGGCUUGAGAGAAGGAAUGCAUAAUUUAAAUGCCUUGGGAAAGCUGGCAGCAGCUUGAGGAUAAAGGAAUUCAAAUGAGACAGAGGGUGGCCAGCCUAGAGAUUCCUGCAGGUUACUUUUUUGAGCAUCUUACAGCAUCUUCGGAUCAGCCAACAAAGAAAUUUCUUUUGGACACAGCAUGUGGUCAAAUGAAGAUUCUGUUCAAAGUGACACGAAAUCAGAAAUAUUGGCUAUAUAACAGUAAAAGAAAGCCUUAAAAUAGCAAAAAGAUGUCAAGCAAAAGAAAACAGCACCUUGCUCACAUCAGGUGAUACACUGGAGAGUUCAAAAACAUCUGAACAAAACAAAAGAGGAAAAGAAGAAGCACACAAUACUUUAAAACUGGCAAAUGUAAUAAACUACAAGAAAU